GACGAACGCUGGCGGCGUGCUUAACACAUGCAAGUCGAACGGAAAGGCCCUGCUUUUGUGGGGUGCUCGAGUGGCGAACGGGUGAGUAACACGUGAGUAACCUGCCCUUGACUUUGGGAUAACUUCAGGAAACUGGGGCUAAUACCGGAUAGGAGCUCCUGCUGCAUGGUGGGGGUUGGAAAGUUUCGGCGGUUGGGGAUGGAUUCGCGGCUUAUGAGCUUGUUGGUUGGGUAGUGGCUUACCAAGGCUUUGACGGAUAGCCAGCCUGGGAGGGUGACCGGCGACAGUGGGACUGAGAGACGGCCCAGACUGGUACGGGGGGCAGCAGUCGGGAAUAUUGCACAAUGGGAGGAAGCCUGAGGCAACAACGCUGCGUGCGGGAUGGCGGCCUUCGGGUUGUAAAAAGCUUUCGCCUGUGACGAAGCGUGAGUGACGGUACUGGGUAAAGAAGCACCGGCUAACUACGUG
RNAcentral lists this ribosomal RNA (468 nucleotides) under uncultured bacterium. RNAcentral describes it as "partial 16S ribosomal RNA". It matches the Rfam family "Bacterial small subunit ribosomal RNA", at positions 28 to 507 of the family's 1533-position model. The record is from RNAcentral.